CUACCAAGAGAACGGUUGUCACUUCUGCCUAUGUAUCUUUCCAGCAGGGCUGGGACCACAUGGGAAGCAUCCUUCAAAGCCCCCUUCAAGUGCUCUCUCUGAAAUCUGCUGUCUAUUCCUGUCUACAAUGAUUCAGCAAUGAGGAAACAUUGACAGAGUAUCUGCUAUGUGCUAGUCACUGUAGACUUCCCCAUCUAAUCUCACAACAAACCUGUCAGGUCUAAAAGAGUCAUGGAGAUGCUGUGGUGAGGGGAGAGGCCAGGCUUAGAGACCUUCAAGAUCUU
RNAcentral lists this long non-coding RNA (284 nucleotides) under Homo sapiens (human). RNAcentral's name for it is "HSALNT0140993". The record is from RNAcentral. Lineage: Eukaryota; Metazoa; Chordata; Mammalia; Primates; Hominidae.